Passer domesticus (house sparrow) is the source of this 13183-nucleotide long non-coding RNA. RefSeq lists it as uncharacterized. Lineage: Eukaryota; Metazoa; Chordata; Aves; Passeriformes; Passeridae. The transcript has 6 exons. The record is from RefSeq and is a predicted model, not a curated record.
GCGGAUUGGCCGGGCGGCGCGCGCUGUUGCCAUGGCUCUGUUGCUAGGGAGGCUCGGCCGUCUCCAGGCCCUGCAGGAAACAUAUAAUUAGCAAAGAUGUUAAGUGGAGCCAGGGUAGCUCUCUGACAGCUCCAGCCUCUCCUCGAUGGUAUCUCGUUGGCCGUCGUUUCCAUGCAGACACACCGACCUGAGCCCAACAUUUCAAGAAGUGAAAAGAAAUCCGUGGAGGUUAAGAAAAAAUUACAAAUCAUCUAUUAGAAUUACAAAUAUUUUUACCCUGUGCUGUUGCUUAGUGGAUUGAAAAUUGAGCCCACUUGGACAAAUUAAAUGAAAUGUGGGAAGAAGACUGUUGGGAAGUGAUCAGCUGGUCCCUGUGUCCUGGAAUUCUGAUUCUGUGGCAAAUAUGACACAUAGAGCCAAACCCAGGAAGAUCUUAGACCCUUGGAGGCCCAGACCAAGUCUACCAUGACAGCCUGCUGCCAUCAGAUCCAUAUCGAGCAAGGGCAUCUGGAAGCUGGUUUGGGAUGGAAACUGCUCCCUUUCACCAUCCCUGCUGCUCUUCUGUGGGCAGAGAGUCUCCAAUCUUCCUUCCUAUGACCUUCAAUCAUCUGUUGGAAAGACACGUCACUUGGAUGAAAUGGAGAGAAUUUAUUCAGAAAUUUCACUAACCGAGAUGAAGCAACCUCUGUGCUGCAUUUGUCCAUCUCUCCUUGAAGACCAAAGAUGAGGUGGGUCACACAAAAGGCAGAUUUUUCCAUCAGUCUGACCUCACAGUACAGUCUUCAUAUUUUGUUGAAUGCAGGAAGCUGAUAACCUUAUCCUUGUCAAGUUUUCACAGAUCUGUGCCUCUUUUCAUCGUAUUCCUCCAGGCAAUUCCGUGUCUAUAUUGUACUUAACCUCAUAGUUUUGAUUUGCAUAGCAGGUUGCCUAUUCCUUUGCUUUUGCACAUUUCUUUUGUUUAAGAAAGAAUCCCAUCCUAAUCCCUUGAAUUUGCCCAUGGUUCUGCCAUUAAUCCCACAAAGAAAAAAAAAGAUGCAAAAUAUACAAAAUCUCUCAGAACCCAGAGAAAAAGAGUAUCCCAAAGAACAUCAGUGUUAAAUACUGUUGUUUACCCAUGCACUCCAAAUGCAUUAGUAGGUUAGAAAAUGGAGAUGAGUCUAGGUUAAACAGACAGCUUUGUCACUUUGCAGAUGACAGGCCUUUAGACUUACAAGAUAAAUAAGACAAUUCAAGCAUGCCUUUACCACUCAACAUACUCCUCCUUAUGUUCUUACAAAAGCUUAUGCAACUGUGUACUGAUGUAAAGGGCACUUUCCUUCCUGUGAUUAUUUAUGCAAUCAGUAAGAAAAAGUUCGUGAUGAACUAGACUCUGUGGGUCAGCCUCUGAUCACUCUAAUUUGAAUGUUGGAUGAAGAAAAAAUGUCACAGGCAGCCAGUAUACUGGAAAAGAGAAGAUCUGUAGGGUCACUGACAGCAGACUGGCAGUGGGUUGUCACAGUAGACUUUGCUGGUUAUUUCUGUGAAUCAUCUGGUCUUUUGCUCCUUGAUCACAGGCUUAGGCUCCCCUGCAUGCAAGGCAGAUGCCUCAUUUGUGGGUACCAACAGGAGUCAUGUCUUAGAUGAAUGUUGAACUGCUCAGAUCUGUUAAAACUGAGAAACUUCUGGGCACAGCUGAAAAUACAACACAAAUCGCCUCAGGAGCACUGGUGCUCGAGGCUGUGAUGCCUGCAGAUUUUUAGGUGCCCCUUGAUUUCAUGAAGAGAUGGGGAGAAAUCAGUGGUUUGAUGUCUGGCUGAUAGCUGGCAGUGAACAGAGCGCUGGACUCUCAUGAAAUCCCAGCUAGGAUUUUGUGUCUGAUUUGGGCUCCAGCUGAAGAAGGAUAGGAAGAAACUGCAGCAGGUGUAAUGGAGGACUACCAAAAUGGCACAAAGCUGGGAGCUCACAGCUCACAAGAAGAGGCCAAGAGAGUUGAGUCUGUCCUGCCUUUGUGGAGACAAGGCUAAGGGACACAUUUGUAACUAAAAGGACUUGAUGGGCAGCUGCAAAGACAGAAGACUCAAGCCCUUCUUAGUAGUUCCAGGCACUAUAAGAAUGUACAAAAUGAGAUUUGGAGUUUCAGUCUGAACAUUAGGAAAAGAUUUUAGCAGGAGGCACAACAGAGGAAGAGCUCACCAGAAAUGUUGUUCAACCUCCAUAUUUUGAAAUUUGCAUAUCUCACCUACAAAAAGCCACAGGCUGGUCCCUUGUGUUAUGAGCAGAAUGAUGGAGACUAGAGAUCUCCAGAUGUCCAUUGCAACCAGCAUUUCUGUGAUUCUGUGAUCUAGAAGAUUUUUAGCACAUUUUGUAGCUGAAAUGCAGUUCCAGACUUCUCAAGUGAGACUAAGUCAGAGCAGGAGACUAGAACACAAAGAAAGGAGAGCAAAAGUUUUGCUCUAAAAACCAAUGCACCAGAAAAUUGAAGGAAUUGUAUCCAUAUGCUAUAGCAAUCUGAGAUGUGCCAUUACAUGGAAUGGGCUGACUGUGAGUUUCUCAUCGUGAUGUGAAGAGUUAGGAAUAACUUCAGAAGGAGCCUGCUGGAAGGAAACUCUGCUUGCUGGAGUGGUGAAAAACUGCUUCAGCUGACAGCAGAACAAAGUCUUUCUAUGCUCUAAAAUGAUUCUCACAGAGACCAAGGAGUGAGAAUGUGUGUGGGGCCCCUUCUAUCUCUUGACAGUGGUUGUGCUCUGGAAUAAAAUGCUGGGGAGAGAGAAGGAAAUACCUCGAGGAGAGAAGUCAGCAUUAAUUUUACUGUUACUGUGUUUCAGAGCGAGCAAUACUGAAGUCUUAGGCUUGCAGAUGUGGUGAUAGCCCCCAGUUUAGUCUGCAACAAAGAAGUCUGCUGUCCACACACACACCCACACACACACAUCUUUCAAAUACCCUCUAACACUCACCACAUGCUUCCUAUGUGAUGAACACAUUCCUGUAGAGUGGGCAAAAGUAGCAUUCCCAGUUUUUGGUGUACUCCAGGUCUGUGACUGUCUAGGCUGGCAGCUGCACGGGGAGCACAGAGUGCACUCCAUGUCACCUAAUCCCACUGUCAAACUGAAGAAGGAAAUUGCAGCUAUAGCAGGCACACAGCAGUGUGCAGGAGUGAGAAACCUAAAAAAGAAAUAAACUUGUAGAUCUCCAUGGGUCUGUUUAAAUACAAUAUUUUAUUCCAUUCUGCGUAGCUUUUUAUACAGUUCUCAUCACCAUAGCAACAGAGGUCCAGCUCUUCAAAUGGAAUUUAGGUAUCCUUCAGCACCCAAAUCUGUCAGCUGGGUGCUAUUGCAGUCACAAAAAUAUUAUUAAUCUUCCACACACUCCUGUGUUUAUUCAAAGUUCCUGGAUACAGGUGCUGUCCAUAGCUGAGAAUAUGCAAAUUGUUCCAGCUCAAGCUGAAACAAGACUUAAAGAUCCCCAAAUGCAGAAUUUCCUCACUUCACUAUCCAGUACCUUUGAAACCCUGGGAAGAUGAUUAAAUGAGCUGUGGUUCACCCGGUGGACAGCCUAGGGACAAAUAUGGCCUUAUAUUCAUUUUUACCUCUGCCAGUCUUGCCACCCUGGCAGGCCCCUCCAGCUUGCUGGUUAAAGAACUGAUGUGUGACAGGCAGGUUCAAAUUUUGCUCUGAAUCAUUUGAUGCAGAGAAAUAUGACUCCUCUCCCACAUCCUACUAUAACCCUCCUGCCAGCUCUCCCUGUUUGAAUGAACAUGCUCAAGCAAAAAAAUUUCCUCUGCAGAACACCUUCCCCUCAGGGGAAUGGUUCGAAUUUUGCCUCAAAUGAAGCAAAACCAGGGAACUGAGCUGGAGUUUCCUGCAGUGCAAGAUUAACAAUCAUCUGUCAUGGUUUGGUUCCAUUAUCUUUUUGCAAAGGGAGAUAUGUACGCAGGGGGAUUUUUAAAAUAUACAUAUUUCUGUGCAUAUAAAUUGUGUCCUCUUUGCGUUCUUCUACUUGGCUGAAUAGUGUGUGUAUACUUAGCAGCAUUGCCCAGACUUUGCAUGCAUAAAUAUUGUUGUGUACAUUUUUUAUUCCCCCUCUAAAUAGCUCAGUUAUGUGGAGUGCAGUGACGUUUGUGCUCAGGCAGUGUGCAAGGCUGUGUGAGGAUGUGCCCUGUGUGAUGGGGGAAGGGGAUCUCCUUGACACAACACUUAUUAGUAUCAUCAAUCACUGGGGAUGUCAUUUCCAAAUUCCCUUUCCCUUACCUAAUUUGCUAAACCUAAUUCUUUAUCACACUAAAAAACCCAGCAUGAGAGAUGGAAGUGAUAAUAAGAGAUGGCUUGCUCUACUGUACAGGGGCAACGUCAGCCUGGCACCUUCUAGAGGGAUUUCCCAUUUUCUCUCUCUUUUCAUGUCGGGUGCUCUAUAUCUGCUCAGCCCAGAGCAAUUAGAAGCCCAUUGCAUCCCUAUUUUACUGUGACUUUAUUUACUUCUGGCUCCUCAGUGAGCUCUUUAGUUGCUGGAGUCCCUAAGUCAAGCAUUUUGCUUGAUUUGUCUGCUGGUGCUUUCAUGGCUUAUUUGCUAAUGCAUCCAGUUCAGGACACCUCCAAAAUGCACUUCAUUAAUCUCAACAACCUAAGGCUAUAUAUUUUUUUUCCAAGUCUGGCACUAAAUUAGCCGAAGACCUUUAUCAAAAACUUGCCUUAUUGAAUUUGCCAGUGCUGUCCUACUUGUGCAAAUAAUUGCAUGUCUGUAAAACUUGGAGGGAGGAAAACAGCAAGCCAUGUGUGGAAUCUAAACUACUGACUCAAAACUCCCAUCCCUGCCAUGGACAGUGCCAGGAUCUUAUCCUAUAUGUGCUGUCACUUCCAUUCCAUAUGCAAGUCUCCUUCCUGUCAAUGAAUUUAACUCACCAGAAAUCAUUGAUUUCCCUGGGUUUGUUCACAGGAUUGUCCUACACACAGACUCCUAAUGGAAUUAAUGGAUCUGCAUCCUGUCCACAUAGAUUAUAGCACUGGAUUUGGGCUCAAUUAUUCAUGGACGUGACUUUGUUUUACCAGCAGACCUUAAAAAGACUCUCAGUUGUCAGAAAGGGGAUGCCAGAGAAAGAGAAUAGAAAUGUAUGAAAACUGUAAUAGUAAGGCAGGUCAGAAGCCUUAGGAGAAGAUGACCUUCAAAAUUUCAUGCACAUUAAGGGGAAAAACCCCAAACAAGCUCUGUUUUUCAUAAAGCAGGGAAGGUGCAUGCAGUGUGUAAAGCUUUUAACACCAGCAUAAAGAAUCAGUGAAGCCUGACUCUUAGAUUUGAUGAGAAAUGAGUAAGAUUCAGAAUACAAAGUUGUCACCAAUUAGCAGCAUCUCAGCUAAAAGUGUGAAUAUUUUUAGAAAACUGAAAGGAUUCAAGAUUUAUUUUUAAACAAAGAAUGGGUUUUAAUCAGAUGAAGAGAUGGGUAUUAGGAGGGAUGCUUUACACAGAUCCUUUGGGAAUUUUGUUGCUUAGUGCCAGGAGGAAUGGUACUUAACUCUUUUUAUUUUUUUGUCUUUUUUUUUUUUUUUUCACUUUGAACAUCUGUAAUUCCCCCAGUGACUGCACAGUCCCUUGAGCUAGACCAUUGGGACUCCCUGUUCAGAUGCUGUCAUGAUGACAUCAGUCUUGGUGGGAGCGUAGGAAAUAUCAUUGUGGAUCUAGGCACACCAGGCUGGAAAUUCACCAAAACCAGUGUUUAUAUGAGUCCAGUUAAACUGACCACACUGGGAAGAUCCUACUCCCAGUGAAAAAAUCUGAAAUAUGAAAAAAGCUGAAAAAUCACCAACUCAGGCUGAGAGCAGCCAGGAUUCACUAGAAAAUUGGGAGAGAAUGUUUCUGACACAGAAGCUGCCAUAACAGAUGUGCAAAGAGGGGUCUGCUUUGAUACCUGGAUUUGUGGUGCUGCACUUCCCUCACCCUGAGCACCUUCCAGGCAGUCAGGCACCAAAAACUUUGUUACUUGAAUGCCCCAGGGGCAGCAGCAACAAUUCCAACCAUGAACUCUGCUAUUUGCCCAGAGGUUCUGAGACCCUCAAAACUGCUGUUCCUUUACAGACAAGGUACCUGUUUGCUUAGCUUCCUCACUGAAAGCCAUGUUCAAACAGCAACAGCUGAAAAAAAACCAGGCUUAAACAAGGUAUUUGAAAUUGCACAAGCUCUUCUGAGCAGGGAUUGACUACUACACUUACCCAGUGCUCUGUACUCAGUUCUUGGUUAGCUUUUAGGCAGCUCUGUAAAAUUUAUUCUCCAAGGAAAAUAUAAAAUCUUUAAAGGCUAGAAAAUUUCAGUAUUUCUAUGUGAGAUGUAUCUAAUGUAUGAAAAAUCUCUGCUUGCUACAACCCAGAUAUUUAUGGUAAAUGUGCUCUGAUCUUGUGAUUUCACACCAAAAGGGAUUCAUGCCACUGCCAAAUAUUCAAGGAAAGUCACCAUAAAUCUCCUUGUGUCCCACUGAAUACCCAUAAAAAAACCCCUACCAGAUGAAGUCUUCUUUUCUAAGCUGUAAGUACCUAAUGGAAAUGCCUUUUAGCACAGGGAGGUUACAAGGAAUGCAGCAAAACUUUAGCACUGAAACAACAAGUUUCUUUUCAAUAGCUUCUUUGUCUCCCCAGAUCCAGAACUACAACUCCUCCAUACAGGAAAUGCUCCAAUAUUCAGAUUGUCUGUGGAGUAUGGGUAUUGUUUUAACCUUUUUGUAGAAGAAAUAAAGAGUGAAAUAUUUAAAUAAAUUGUAAAUGUAAAAUUAUAUGUGAUUAGACACAGAUAGUAACCCUCAACUCCUGCAUAUUUUGUGAAGGUUGGGAGAAAUUUUUUUUUGCAUAAAAUCUGUUAUGAGAAAACAUUAAAAAACAUUUCACUAAGUAAUGUGACCAUAUCUGCCAGAGGCAAGAUGAUGAAUUUGAGAGCUAUACAGAUGAUGAAUUUGAGAGCUAUUUAUCUUAGCUGGACCAUAACAACCAACUGCAAAGAUGGACAAAGCUCUUGCCCCUAAUGGCUGGGUUUCCACUCCUCCUGGGCAGGUGGAAUUUAGCCAGGUCUCUGUGGUUUUUUCAGUCUGUAGAACAUUAAAGAAGAUGAAAAAUUGUUGCAAAGAUACAAUUUUCUUGCAUACUUUGAAACUAAACAAUAUUAUACUCCGUGACAUAGAAAUUUUUUGGCAGUUAAGUAUCUUAUUAUUCACACUUGGUCUUCAUCAAUAACUGUACUCCUGUAAGACCAUUUAAUACUGUGCCUGGUAAAUUUUCUCAACAAGUCUGGAAGAUUUGUUGUAUUUAGAUCAAUACCACAGCCAUUUGGUUGGCAUGUACUAAGAAAAAUAUUACUUUUGCAAAUCCAAUCCACCAAGUCAUGUACUGAGGUGCCAUUCAAGCUAGGAAGGUUCUGAAGGCAGUUGUCCCAGUCUUCCUGCUGCUCAAAGGGCUGUGCAAUAAUUUUGGCCCAGGAGCCAGCUGUAGGCUUAUUUAAAAUAUCAGCAACUUUCACCUUGGUGUAAGGUUUAGUGAAACUCAUUGUUUUUAAUUUGCAGCUUUGAGAAGUGUAACCAUCUAUGUUUUAUAGAUUUUUCUUUUCCUGUGAGGAAACUCAUCAACUUUGAUGUCUGUAACUAUUGAUUCUCUGCAUUAAGGGAUUGGUAAAACAGAUUAACCACAAUAGCGUGUUAAUUAAGACCAUGUUUCAGCUUUCCAAAAUUACUCUCUUUUUGCAGAAAGCUGAUGAAUUGACUGGCAUUAGAGACCAUCCAGCCCAAGGAGCCAGAAUGUACAGAUCACAGGGGAAAUCAUGCACAUACCCAAGAGAAGGUUUGGAGAGAGUGCAAUCCCAUUUUCACAAUGUCCUGUGUGGGUCUGUUGUGUCCAAACCUUUAGUGAUGCUAACAGGAUAUUCUGCAUAUGCACAGCUUGUCAGAUCUUCAGCCAGGCUGAGACAGGAUUUGCCAUGCAUGAAAAUUCCAGGAGGAGGGGUCAAGACUAGAAACAGGAUCUUGUCCCACAGAAAGAUGUUCUGCCACACAAAGCCAGUCUAUCAGCCCAGGAACCUCUUCAGGGUUUCUAUAUUACCUUCAACUAAGGCAAUAAUUUGCCUCCUUCCAUCUUUCAUGCCUCUUGUGCAGUAAGGUUUUACUCUUUGGAGAAAGCUUGUGGUGGGUUUGUGCCUGGUCUGGAGGGUGCUAAGCUGAGCUGGGACAUCAUCCUGGCUGCCCCUGGGUAAAUACCUCGACUCUGCUCUUGUGAGAUUCCCCCUGGGGUGCUGUGUCCAGUUUGGGGGUCCCCAGCCUUGGAAAGACAUGGACCUGUUGGAGUCAGUCCAGAGGAGGCCACAAAAAUGAUCAGAGGGUUGGAGCACCUCUCCUACAAAGACAGGAUGAGAGAGCUGAGGUUGCUCAGCCUGGAGGAGAGAAAACUUCAGGAGGAUUUAAGAGUUCCUUUCAGUACCUAAAGGGGUGUAUAAGAAGGAUGAGGAGAGAGGUUUAUCAGGGUUUGCAGAGACAGGACAAGAGGUAAUGAUUUUAAAAAACAAAGGUAGAUUUAUAUUUGAUAUAAGGAAGAAUUUUUUUAUGGUAAGUGUAGAGAAACACUGGCACAGGCUGCUCAGAGAUGUGGUAGAUGCCCCAUGCCUGGAAACAUUAAAGAUUGGGUUGUACAGGCUUUCAGAGCUACCUGAUCUAGUUGAAGUUAUCCCUGCUUACUGCAGUAGGGAUGGGCUUUUAAAGGCUCUUUCCAACCCAGACUGUUUGACAAGCCAGUGAUUCUGAUGCGGGCUGGUAGUUACUGCUGCUAUUCAUUCAAGUUUCACUUGCAUUGAAGUGUUAGUUCUGCAAAUGCCCAGUGCUCUUCUGAUGUAUUCAGUCAGAGAACAUGAUCAGAAUUUGCUUUUUAUGCAGUGAUGUGGAUUGCUUUUUAAGCUAUUCUGUCUGGGAGUUAGAAAAAAAUUGAAUCAAUGUCCAAGGGGUGUCCCUGGUGCUAGAUCAGGCUGGCCUGAUCCACUUUCAGACUGUGCCAUGUGGGCAGAGAGUCAUGUCCAGCAGCAAAAUCCCCUCUCCAUUUCUUCCCCACCCUCAUUACCUAGUGCAAGGAUACCCAGCAAACUCUUGCCCCUCUUAACAUCAUGCAAACUGGAAUGUUUUCUGUCCAAAAAAAAGUAUUGAUAGCACAGCCCUUCAAGGACAUGUAUCUUGCUGUGCCCAGUUAUUUCAUUUUCAUUUGGAUAUGUAAAAAAUCUGAGGAACAUGAGCUACACAGCUUUUGAAUUUUGUUUAAAAAUACAUCUUUCCUGGGUAGAUGGGAGUAUGCUAAAUGUGUGUAUCUUUUAGAAAAAGCCUCAAUUUUAUUAUUGCUAUGAUUUCCCACUUUCACUAUUUUCUGGAAGGAACAGGGUUAUUUUGUUCAGAGAUUAUUUUAGCUGGUUCUAUCCAUUUUCCUUCCCCUCUCCCCAGAAAGCUUUCUUUUAAUAACAGUUGUUUUUUCUUUGCAACUGCUGGGAAGAGGAGUCCAAUAAACCCCUCCUUAGGUUCCUUCCAUAAAUAAAAUAAAAAACCCAUCUUGGCUGUCAUUCAGGCCUGCCUUUUCAUUAAUUCUAUUUCAAUGUAUUUUAUGUGACCGUGUGCCUGCCUUUGCAACAGCAAGGAAUCUCAGUGGGAUGGAGCAGCUUAAUCGAUCAGCAAUCCUGGUCACCCAGAAAGAGUGUUAAUUGGCCUCAGUACUUGAAGCAUGUGACACUGCCUGACCUAAUCAUCAGAACUGGAGAAGUCAAUAAAUUAGAGGGGAAAAUGCAGAUGGAUAAAAUAAAGACCCAGCUCUAUACAACACGCUGUGAACAUCGUUCCUGAAUAGUGCUCUGUGGAAAAGCCAAGUUAAGCAUUUUCUGGAUAAGGCCCAGGGGAGCUAAGAGCAAGAAUAAUUUCAUGUUUUCAGAGUUUCACCUUUUAGUCUUCCAUCACGUACACUUGAUAUGUCUCAGCAAUUUGUCUGAAAUCUCCUAACUGAACCUGUGAAAAUUAUUCAUUCUCCCCCUCUAAUAACCAGCAGUGCAGCUUGCCUCGCUCCUGCACUCCCUGGGGAGGGACUGAGGCUGGCCAAGCCAAUAUGACCUGGUCAGGGGUUUGGCAGGGACAUGCCCAGGCUCACCUCCCUCUGAGACAGGAGCAGUGUUCCCACAAAAUUUGAUGUCUGGGUUAAAUGCUGCAGGUGAGAUCUCAGCUCCAUCUGCCUCCAUAGGAGCAGGUUGGCUUUGUCACAGGGCCCAGCAUUUAACUACUGAUGGACAAAUAACUUCAGGCUGCUAAUUAAUACCCAGGCAGAAGCUGGUGAGAACACCUACCACAGAACAGCCAGGGAAGGAGAAGGAUUGUCUUUGGAGAUGGGGCAAUCCACUGUCAGGGCAGUGUCCUGUCAGCCCUAUUAAAAGUGCUUCCUUCCCUGUGCUGCAGGGGGAAGACUUUGCUCCCUGGAGCCAGCAGGGGUGACUUUCCAAGUGUUGGCUGCAAAGGAAGUGCAAGCCCAGGCUGUCCAGUAAACAUGGAAAGGACUGCCCUGGUGACUGAACCAUGUGGGAUGUGGGCCCAGGCAGAAGCUGGUGGGACAGAAGAGUUCAGAGUCCCAAACCUGCCCUCUUAUGUGGAAUGGCUGUGUAGGGAUAGAACCCUUAACCACCCUUCUGUGGGACGAGGCAGUGUCAGGAUUGGAUGUGGAAUAAUAAAGCCCUUGGUCCUGCCUGCUCCAGAGGCAGUGAGUACUGUAGUGAGACCCAAACCUUCUCUUAAAUGUUCAGAAAAAGAAGGAAAUCAAUAAAAAUGCCAAUAAAUGCAUCUGUCAGGCAAUGAGUUAGAGGGAGGAUGGUGUAAGGUGUAUCACUGUGCUGGUUUUGUCUGGGAUAGAGUUAAUUUUCUUUACAGUUUAUAGUAUGAGGUUUUUUUUUUUUAAUUUGUGCUGAAAACAGCUUUGAUAAUCUAGAGCUGGUUUUGUUGUUACUGAGCAGGGCCAAACACAGAGCCAAAGCCUUUUCUGCUUCUCAUAUCACCCUGCCAGCAAAGGUGGCUGGAGGUGCACAAGAAAUUGGAAGGAAACACAGCCAGGACAGCUGACCCCAUCUGGGCCAAGGGGUGUCCCACACCAUAUGGCAUCAUGCUCAGAACAUAAAGAGGGGGAAAGGAGGGAGUGGAGAGCAUUUGGAGUGAUGGUGUUUUUCUUCCCAAGUCACUGCUAUGCGUGACGGAGUCCUGCUUUCCUGGGAAUGGCUGAACACCUGCCUGCCCAUGGGAAGUGGUAAAUGAAUUCUUUAAUUUGCUUUGCACAUGGAGUGGCUUUUGCUUUACCACUUAAAAUGUCUUUAUCUCAACCCAUGACUUUCCCAGCUUUUACCCUCCUAUCAGAUUUUCAGUUUCCUACCAGUUAGAACCACCUUGUGUUGGUGGAAUCACUGGAGGGGGCUGGAGGGAGAGGCACUGCUGCCAGCCAGGUGUGGGGAUGCCAGCAAAUCCAGAAUGACUCCCAGAUCCCAGCACAACCAAUGUGAUAGCAAAGGGCUGGAUGUCUCCUACACCAAAAAUUACAGAUGUCCAACCAUGAGUAAGUGAACAUGUGCCUGGUAGGAGUGCUGUGAUGCUAUUUUAUCCAGCACAAAUGUCUGGAGGGACAUUUAUCCAUCUGUUGGCUGUCCACAUAGCUGUGCUCUUAUUUAUUCUCCUUGUUCUUUUAUUUUUUUUCUGCUGUUGUUUAUUUAUGUCUAGAUCUGUGAGAGAUGUAUAUCUCUCUAAAUCAGCUCCAGAGAUAGUUGCACAGAUAAACAUCUGUUGCAAGGUAUGGUCCAUAGAGAGAAAAUACUGUGUUAGCAGAGGAACCAACACAAAAUUGCAGUCAAAACUGAUAGGCACAGUCCAAUUAGCUGCAACUGGUCAUUUCCAAAAAUAAACAAAGCUUAGGAAAAAAAAAUAUCAGAGAGAAAGUUAGCAAGGCAUUACAAAAUCAUUUGUUUGCCCUUCAAGUGCCAGAAGAUGUUCAGAGACAGCAGAGCUUCUGAUGUUAAAGCAAAUAUGAAAGGAAAGCAGACUGGAUUAUUGUAGCCUGGCAGACAUGAAGGAACUUAAGGAAUAGGAGCAAUAAAGUCUCCAGACCAGCCAGGUGAAAAGUGCAAACCUGUCCUGUCCCCUCUGUCCAUAGCUCUCUUUUUCCCAGAGCCAACAAAAAUAUCUGUACCAUAUCCUUUACCUGCUGGCCUUUGAGUGGGGCAGACAGGGUUUUAAAAUAACAAUAAUAAAGCUUUCAAUUUUUAUUUUAAUAAGGAAACAUUUUUUUUUAAAUCAGAUUGCCAGGCCUAUCAUGAUUUACCUCUGAGCCCUUUGUUUGGCUAAUGAAUUUAUGCCCCUGUCUCUAGGGGAAGAAGAUCUUGUCAUUUGCAAAAUGAUGCCAUUGUCAGCAUAUCUCACGCUGAGAUGAGGCAGGGAAAGAAAUCCCUGUUCAGCUUCCUUGGUGCUGAUCUCUCCUUCCUCAGUGUUUGGUGCUGUAAGAGGGCAGACCAUUGUUCAGACCAUUGUUCAGCCCUCUUCUGCUCGAGGGCUGCUGUCUGGUCCCAGAGCCUUUGGGGUCAGGAGGGACCACAGUGUGAAUGGAAAACCUCACACCUUUGUCCCCUCUCACACCAGGAGCUGCUUAUUCUGUCACUGCACAAAAGCUCCUUCAUUGGCUCAGCUUGGGCACAAAGUGAGUGGAACAUGCUCCCCUAUCCUUCACCAAAAGGUUGAAUAAGAGUGACAUUUUUGGCUGAAACACAGUGAAAAGAAGGCUGGACUGCGGGCCAGGAGGUGAUUCUGCAUCUCUGGCAUGGACACGGUGCUAACCCAUAUGGCAAUAAAAUCCCCCAGAUGGCUUCAAACUUUGCUGGAGACAGUCUGCCUUCCAUCCCCUUCUAUUCCUGAGCCACUUCACACCAUGCCAGGGCAGCUUCUCUGCUCUGGUUCAGGAUCCCAGAGUUGCUGCCUACCACCUUCACCCUCAUUGUGGGUACCUGGUGAAUUUAAGGGUGAAGAUGGCUGAGGAGCAAACCUGUGUCACAGUACAAGGGCAGACCUAAGUCCUGGAGCACUAUCUGGUAUUGGUUUUGUAGUCUCUAGCUAAAAAAAGAAAAACAGAUGUCUUUUUUCCCCCUAAAUUCAAAGUGCCAGUUAUUCAUAAUCCUCACACAAAUCUGGCCUGUGCAGGGCCAA